RNAcentral lists this transfer RNA (83 nucleotides) under Cordylochernes scorpioides. Its description in RNAcentral is "tRNA-Thr". The record is from RNAcentral. Lineage: Eukaryota; Metazoa; Arthropoda; Arachnida; Pseudoscorpiones; Chernetidae.
AGUGUCCAGGGAUGGGAAUCGAAUCCACAGUGUUCCGCUUACCGGGCAGAUGCCAUGCCUACUAGGCUAUAAGAAAUUGGAAC